This is a long non-coding RNA of Lathyrus oleraceus (garden pea), 877 nucleotides long. RefSeq lists it as uncharacterized. The transcript has 2 exons. NCBI's taxonomy places the organism in Eukaryota, Viridiplantae, Streptophyta, Magnoliopsida, Fabales, Fabaceae. The record is from RefSeq and is a predicted model, not a curated record.
CCAGCAAGGGAGUGUAGAGUAUCAAUUCUGGCUAGGCUUAGGAUUAAGCUCAAUACAAGUCCAUGCACUCAUAGAGGGGUGUGAGAUGGAAUUAGGGUGUAAGCCAGCAAUUUGCUUGGGCUGGAGGGAUCCAGGCCCAUCACACAACUGGUAAAUGAGAAUAGCAUCAAGAAGAAACAUUAUUCAAGCCUCUCUCUCAUUCUGAAGAAUCAAUUCACUAUGAUGCUCACUGGAAUUUACUAUGAUGCUCACCAGAAUUCACUAUGAUGCUUAUCGAUCCACGCGAAACCUCACAAAUCCCUUCCCCUAAAUUUGAGUUCAUCAAUUAUUUUUAUAAACCUUAAACUAUGGAUCCACAUCGUAGCUUUGAAGGUCGUAAUCAUUCGUUCUAAAUCGCUCUUGAAAUUGGGAUAGGAACAUAGUGAAGCACAUGUUCAGAAGCAUAAAUAAUUAAGCAAGAAUCUGUAACACGCGUACCAGUGAGGAUCCGACGACGAAUUCAUAAGGUGGAAGCAUGCUUGGCUUAGGCAAGGUUGGAUUGAAGUUUGACAUGGUCAAGGCAUGACAUUUGAAAGUAAUAUGGAGUAUGGAAGGAUGAACAUGACUUUGAAUAUGAAGAAGGCUUGAAGAUUAGCGGGAACUAGGUCUAGGGUUAGAGAGUUGACUUGGGUCAACCGGUUGACCAAAAAGUCGAAAGUUGACCAAAAUUAAUUGUAGGUAAAUUGUAUUUUUGUAGGCUUUGGAUUUUUGUAGUGAUUUGUAUAUAGAUGUUUGGAAAUGAAUCUUGGAUUACUUUUGUAAUGAAAAAUGAAUUUGAAUGUCAUGAUCCUAAGUGAGUUCUCUUCACACAAUUGAUUUUGAUCUUUGGAACAAAUAA